UACGAACUGCGCAAACGUUGUUCGGAUUCACUGGGCGUAAAGGGUGCGUAGGUGGCGGGGUAAGUUUGAUGUGAAAUCUCCGGGCUUAACCCGGAAACUGCAUUGAAUACUAUUCUGCUCGAGGUUUGGAGGGGGGACUGGAAUUCUCGGUGUAGCAGUGAAAUGCGUAGAUAUCGAGAGGAACACCAGUGGCGAAGGCGAGUCCCUGGACAACACCUGACACUGAGGCACGAAAGCUAGGGGAGCAAACAGG
RNAcentral lists this ribosomal RNA (253 nucleotides) under uncultured bacterium. RNAcentral describes it as "partial 16S ribosomal RNA". It matches the Rfam family "Bacterial small subunit ribosomal RNA", at positions 524 to 776 of the family's 1533-position model. The record is from RNAcentral.